AGAGCACAAUAAAGGCUGGUUACCCAAGUGCAACUGCGGGGGAUAAGGAGCUGUCACCCUAACAAUCAGACGCAGAGAAGCAAACUGCAAGAAGCAAUCCCUUCCCUCUUCCCGUUUUGCAGGCUUCCUCUAGCACCCCCUACUGGCAGAGCCUUGCUGAGGCGCCACCUGGCCAAGAGACUGCGCGAGGCCCCCAGCCCAGCAGCGUCGGAAAGGAAUACACGUUUCCAUAUUGAGCUAUUACAGACAGUGCUGCUGCCCUGGGGUUUGUCUCUUGUCCACAAAUCUGACCUGUUAAAGCCCUGGCCUUCGGAACCCACAGCCUGCAGAUAUUGCCAAGGAGCUGUCCGUGGACACCACCACGUUUCCUGAGAAGAUGAGAAACGGGAUGCUGGGGGGCAGCAGUGGCGAGGAAGCCAUGGUGGUGCCUGAGGCAGCCGCAGCCUGCCAGGGGAGCAGCCCCACCUUCAUCGUCCAGGAGAGCUCACUGUGAUGCAGACGCGGGGCCCAGGCCUCUGUCCACAUGCUGCCAGGCCUGCCCCCUCACCCCAAGCCCUUUGUCCCUGGAUGACCUGGGCCUGGUCACUGUGUCUGUCCUAGGCAGGGGGUUAGAGCUGUCACUCACAGGGUCGUGGGGGUGAGGUAGGAACAUUCCUUGACCAUCACCAACCUAUUCUACAGCAGAGACUGUAAAAUUUUUGGCCUCAGAACCACUUUACAUUCUUAAAAAAGUAGAACUUUGAAGAGUUUUUGCUUAUGUGGAUUAUUUCUAUUGAUAUUUAACAUAUUAGAAAUUAAAAUAAAUUAGAAACUAAAAUUAAAACAUAUUAGAAAUUAAAGUAGGAUUUUAAAAAUAUUUAUUUCAAAUAAGAUUAAUUAACCCAUUAUAUGUGAAUGUAUGUUAUGUUUAUAUGAAAAAUAAUUAUUUUCCAUAUUGGAAAAUAUUUAGUGAGAAGAGUCACAUUGUUUUACAUUUUUGCAAACAUCUUUAAUGUCUGUUGUAAUAGACAGCUGAAUUCUCCUAUCUGCUUCUACAUUCUCUCUGUAGUUGUAAUAUCACAUGUCAUAUGGCUUCUGGAAAAUCCCAUUACACUUGUAAGAGAAUAAAUGUGAAAAAAUGCUAGCAGCAUCUUGUAUUAUAAAAAUAGUAUUGGCCACUUAAAUCACUGAAAGGGUCUCAGGGACUCACAGACUUCCCAGAUCACACAGUUUUUUAUAUCCACUUCACCUAUUUUGCCCAUCUCCCCAUUCCCCUCCCCUCUGGCAACUACCAGUU
Non-coding RNA from Manis javanica (Malayan pangolin), 1276 nucleotides. The record is from RefSeq and is a predicted model, not a curated record. Lineage: Eukaryota; Metazoa; Chordata; Mammalia; Pholidota; Manidae.